This 2278-nucleotide long non-coding RNA is filed under the name Sus scrofa (pig). Its description in RNAcentral is "lncRNA (ENSSSCG00070018975.1)". The stretch from base 1621 to 1712 matches the Rfam family "Small nucleolar RNA SNORD116". Lineage: Eukaryota; Metazoa; Chordata; Mammalia; Artiodactyla; Suidae. The record is from RNAcentral.
CUGGCCCCGACGGUGACGGAGGGCUUUGAUGAGGCCGGCGGCCGCGUGCUUGCCAGGAAGGCCCGGGGCUUGAGGCCCUGGAAGGCCUGGCCCGUUCAGGAGUCCCGGCUGUUUGGGGGAAUGUCCCACGCCCUGUGGGGAUUUGAGCCGUGUCUCCCGGCGACUUGGGUGUCCCGGUUGGUGUGUGGUCGGGCUGGGAGGGCGUUGGUGCGGGCGGGAACCGCCGGGUAGCGACCACGUCUCGUCAGGGGGUUCGUGCCUGCUGCUGGGCACGGGAACGGCUCCGGGGGGGUUUACGGGCGCUGAGGGGAUUCCGCAUCAUGGAGAGGUCAAGGGGAGUUGGUGGCCGUCACCCUUCGUCAGGGCAGGGUAGCAUCAGUGCCCCGUGCUGGGGUUCCUGGAGAGCCGGCUGGCACGGACAGACUCUUGUGAGGGCAAGUGGCUGAUCGUGCGUCGGAUGGGUCCAGCAAAGGAGAGAAAGCUUCGGUGCGCGCGCGCUCGCCAGGGAAAGGGUGACAGCGGGUGGGACCGAGAGGGAGAGAGAGAGAGGGAGAGAACAAAGGAAGAGAGAGGGUUUCCGCAGGGGCGGUGAGUCCUGGCGGAAGUCCUGAGGCAGAGGAGGUGCCAGGGGUUUGGGUUUCCCGGUCGUGUCGGGGGGUGGCGCAGGUUGCCCCAGUGGGCCUGAAUGUGCCUCCGUGGGGCACCUUGUUGCCGUGGGGGGCGGGGAGCCGGCCUUGGGGAUCCAUCUUUCGGGCCCUGGGACGUGGGAGAAGAAUGCCGGGGCCUCUCUCUGUGCCCCUGGCACGCCUCUGUGCAGGCCGGGCCUGCACCACCCCCCCCGUCCCCGGCAGGGUCCGUGUGGCUGCAGACACCCAGAGAGAGGGGGGCUGGGGAGGCUGGGGAGCCGUGGCAGCCCGAUGCAGUGCGGGUCUCCAGGUGGAGGGGCCCUGGUCCCUGGCGCCAGCGUGGCCCUUCCUCCUUGUGGAAACCCUUGUGGUGUGUGUGCUCUCUCGCCCUGACCCAGGAGAGCAGCAUGGCGGACCCCUGAUCUUGUGGCGUGCCACCGCGCGAGGCCGAGGAGCUCCCGCAGACCAGUGGGCGUGGCGUCCUUGUCGCGGCUCUGUGGAGACCUGGCGAUGGAGAGCAGCAUGGCGGACCCCUGAUCUUGUGGCGUGCCACCGAGCGAGGCCGAGGAGCUCCCGCAGCCCAGUGGGCGUGGCGUCCUUGUCGCGGCUCUGUGGAGACCUGGCGAUGGAGAGCAGCAUGGCGGACCCCUGAUCUUGUGGCGUGCCACCGCGCGAGGCCGAGGAGCUCCCGCAGACCAGUGGGCGUGGCGUCCUUGUCGCGGCUCUGUGGAGACCUGGCGAUGGUGAGCGGCCCCUGUCCUCAGUGGUGGAGAACUCGCCCUUGGGGCGCUCGUCUGUCCGGAGCCCCGGGCCAGCCCCGCUUCUCGCGGGCUUUGGCCCCGGCAGGCCAGCUCCGGGGCGUGAGGGGGAGCGUCCCGUCCUGCCCAGUGGCUCGUCUGUCUGGGCACGCCCCCAAACGCUGCCGUGAUGGAGCGGGUGGGAUGUCCAGGUGCGGAGGCCGUGAAUUUGCCUUGCGGCGGCGGAGCCCGUGCUCGGAUCGAUGAUGACUCCCUCUAAAGCAUUCCUUGGAAAUCUGAACAAAAUGAGUGAGAACUCACUACCGUCUCCUCAUCGAAACUGAGGUCCGGCACGUGGCGGCCACCGGGGGCUCGGGGUAGAUGGGCCCUUGGCCUUGGGGCCUCUGGUGUCAGCAGCCACUCGGGUGAGGUCUGGGGAAGGCGGCCGCCUGCCGGGCCCAGGAAGCAUGGGGCCCGUCGCCCGGCGCUGGCCUCGGGGGAGAGGCCGCGUGCCCGAGCGUGCUGGAGAUCCCGGGCGGCCUCCCGCCGGCCUUGGGGGUUUCGCAAGCCGUCGCGGGGGCCGAAAUUUGGGCCCGGCCCGCGAGGCAAGUGUGCGGCCCUAGGGCCCCAGGGGGCGUCCUGGCCCAGGCCGGGCGCCCUUCUCAGGAUGCUGUGGGGAGACGGGAUCCCGGCAGGGUAGUGUUCUCUUUCUGCUCUGGGGACCCCUGAGGGCCACCUGCUGCAGGGGGUCUGUGGUAGCGGGGGCCCUUGGAUCAGGGCCGUCCCCCAUGGGAGGGGGCAGCCUGGGAACCCCUGAGGGCGCUCCCCUGGGACGUCCAGGGAUGUUGGGGCGGAGGCUGGGGCUGGGUGGCGAGAAGGGGGCAGCUGAAGUGGUGAGCGACAGGCGGGCAGAGG